Molecule: small RNA, 31 nt
Filed under: Bombyx mori (domestic silkworm)
Lineage: Eukaryota; Metazoa; Arthropoda; Insecta; Lepidoptera; Bombycidae
Description: ovarian small RNA-23597
Source: RNAcentral
UAUCCGCCACCUACGGACGCGCCCGGCGUUU